This 475-nucleotide ribosomal RNA is filed under the name uncultured bacterium. Its description in RNAcentral is "bacterial SSU rRNA". It matches the Rfam family "Bacterial small subunit ribosomal RNA", at positions 335 to 798 of the family's 1533-position model. The record is from RNAcentral.
ACUCCUACGGGAGGCAGCAGUGGGGAAUAUUGCACAAUGGGGGAAACCCUGAUGCAGCCAUGCCGCGUGUGUGAAGAAGGCCUUCGGGUUGUAAAGCACUUUCAGUAGGGAGGAAGGAUGAGUGUAGUUAACACCUUGCACUUAUUUGACGUUACCUACAGAAGAAGCACCGGCUAACUCCGUGCCAGCAGCCGCGGUAAUACGGAGGGUGCGAGCGUUAAUCGGAAUUACUGGGCGUAAAGCGCAUGCAGGCGGCCUUGUUAAGUCAGAUGUGAAAGCCCGGGGCUUAACCUCGGAAUUGCAUUUGAACUGGCAGGCUAGAGUCUUGUAGAGGGGGGUAGAAUUUCAGGUGUAGCGGUGAAAUGCGUAGAGAUCUGAAGGAAUACCAGUGGCGAAGGCCGGCCCCUGGACAAAGACUGACGCUCAGAUGCGAAAGCGUGGGGAGCAAACAGGAUUNGAUACCCUGGUAGACUGU